GACGAACGCUGGCGGCGUGCUUAACACAUGCAAGUCGAACGGAAAGGCCCUGCUUUUGUUGGGUUCUCGAGUGGCGAACGGGUGAGUAACACGUGAGUAACCUGCCCUUGACUUUGGGAUAACUUCAGGAAACUGGGGCUAAUACCGGAUAGGAGCUCCUGCUGCAUGGUGUGGGUUGGAAAGUUUCGGCGGUUGGGGCUGGACUCGCGGCUUAUCAGCUUGUUGGUGAGGUAGUGGCUUACCAAGCCUUUGACGGGUAGCCGGCCUGAGAGGGUGACCGGGCACAUGGGGACUGAGAUACGGCGCAGACUCCAACGGGAGGCAGCAGUGGGGAAUAUUGCACAAUGGGCGGAAGCCUGAUGCAGAAACGCCGCGUGCGGGAUGACGGCCUUCGGGUUGUAAACAGCUUUCGCAUGUGACGAAGCGGGAGUGACGGUAAUGGGUAAAGAAGCACCGGCUAACUACGUG
RNAcentral lists this ribosomal RNA (468 nucleotides) under uncultured bacterium. Its description in RNAcentral is "partial 16S ribosomal RNA". It matches the Rfam family "Bacterial small subunit ribosomal RNA", at positions 28 to 507 of the family's 1533-position model. The record is from RNAcentral.